RNAcentral lists this ribosomal RNA (206 nucleotides) under uncultured bacterium. RNAcentral describes it as "partial 16S ribosomal RNA". It matches the Rfam family "Bacterial small subunit ribosomal RNA", at positions 568 to 774 of the family's 1533-position model. The record is from RNAcentral.
CGCGUAGGCGGUUUUGUGCGUUAGAUGUGAAAGACCUGGGCUUAACCUGGGAAGUGCAUUUAAUACGGCAAAACUAGAGGACGAGAGAGGAAAGUGGAAUGAUGCAUGUAGAGGUGAAAUUCGUAGAUAUGCAUUGGAACACCAGUGGCGAAGGCGACUUUCUGGCUCGUAACUGACGCUAAGGCGCGAAAGCGUGGGAGCAAACA